GCGUUAAGUAUCCCGCCUGGGGAGUACGCACGCAAGUGUGAAACUCAAAGGAAUUGACGGGGGCCCGCACAAGCGGUGGAGUAUGUGGUUUAAUUCGAUGCAACGCGAAGAACCUUACCAAGACUUGACAUCCUGCGAAUUCCGGUGAAAGCUGGGAGUGCCUUAGGGAGCGCAGAGACAGGUGGUGCAUGGCUGUCGUCAGCUCGUGUCGUGAGAUGUUGGGUUAAGUCCCGCAACGAGCGCAACCCUCGUUUUUAGUUGCCAGCAUUAAGUUGGGCACU
This 281-nucleotide ribosomal RNA is filed under the name Cylindrospermopsis raciborskii S14. RNAcentral describes it as "partial 16S ribosomal RNA". It matches the Rfam family "Bacterial small subunit ribosomal RNA", at positions 857 to 1139 of the family's 1533-position model. The record is from RNAcentral. Lineage: Bacteria; Bacillati; Cyanobacteriota; Cyanophyceae; Nostocales; Aphanizomenonaceae.